UGGGGAAUAUUGGACAAUGGGCGAAAGCCUGAUCCAGCCAUGCCGCGUGUGUGAAGAAGGUCUUCGGAUUGUAAAGCACUUUAAGUUGGGAGGAAGGGCAGUAAGCGAAUACCUUGCUGUUUUGACGUUACCGACAGAAUAAGCACCGGCUAACUCUGUGCCAUCAGCCGCGGUAAUACAGAGGGUGCAAGCGUUAAGCGGAAUUACUGGGCGUAAAGCGCGCGUAGGUGGUUCGUUAAGUUGAAUGUGAAAGCCCCGGGCUCAACCUGGGAACUGCAUUCAAAACUGGCGAGCUAGAGUAGGGCAGAGGGUGGUGGAAUUUCCUGUGUAGCGGUGAAAUGCGUAGAUAUAGGAAUGAACACCAGUGGCGAAGGCGACCACCUGGGCUAAUACUGACACUGAGGUGCGAAAGCGUGGGGAGCAAACAGG
Molecule: ribosomal RNA, 429 nt
Filed under: Pseudomonadota bacterium
Lineage: Bacteria; Pseudomonadati; Pseudomonadota
Description: Proteobacteria bacterium partial 16S ribosomal RNA
Rfam family: Bacterial small subunit ribosomal RNA
Source: RNAcentral